CCUACGGGAGGCAGCAGUGGGGAAUUUUGGACAAUGGGGGCAACCCUGAUCCAGCAAUGCCGCGUGAGUGAAGAAGGCCUUCGGGUUGUAAAGCUCUUUUGUCAGGGAAGAAACGGCAGUUUCUAAUACAAGCUGCUAAUGACGGUACCUGAAGAAUAAGCACCGGCUAACUACGUGCCAGCAGCCGCGGUAAUACGUAGGGUGCAAGCGUUAAUCGGAAUUACUGGGCGUAAAGCGUGCGCAGGCGGUUAUAUAAGUCAGAUGUGAAAUCCCCGGGCUCAACCUGGGAACUGCAUUUGAGACUGUAUGGCUAGAGUGUGUCAGAGGGGGGUAGAAUUCCACGUGUAGCAGUGAAAUGCGUAGAUAUGUGGAGGAAUACCGAUGGCGAAGGCAGCCCCCUGGGAUAACACUGACGCUCAUGCACGAAAGCGUGGGGAGCAAACAGGAUUAGAUACCCUGGUAGUCCACGCCCUAAACGAUGUCUACUAGUUGUCGGGUCUUAAUUGACUUGGUAACGCAGCUAACGCGUGAAAGUGACCGCCUGGGGGUAAGGUACGGUCGCGAGUAAGUUAAACGUUAACGAAGAAGUUAGACGGCGNGAGAGNGCGACGGACGACGACGAGGGAGGAGG
This 631-nucleotide ribosomal RNA is filed under the name uncultured bacterium. RNAcentral's name for it is "bacterial SSU rRNA". The stretch from base 1 to 542 matches the Rfam family "Bacterial small subunit ribosomal RNA", at positions 338 to 873 of the family's 1533-position model. The record is from RNAcentral.